Molecule: ribosomal RNA, 682 nt
Filed under: Sclerophora farinacea
Lineage: Eukaryota; Fungi; Ascomycota; Coniocybomycetes; Coniocybales; Coniocybaceae
Description: mitochondrial SSU rRNA
Rfam family: Bacterial small subunit ribosomal RNA
Source: RNAcentral
CAGCAACUUGGAGGAAUGUAUAUUGACUAUGUCAAAUAAAGUUCUAGGUAGAAUAAUGAUAAUGACAAUUUUCUAUUUAUAUGUCUUGACCAAAUCACGUGCCAGCAGUCGCGGUAAUACGUGGAAGACUAGUGUUAUUCAUCUUUAAUAGGUUUAAAGGGUACCUAGACGGUAUUUUUAGCCCAACAACGGGGACUGAUUUACUAGAGUUUAAAUGUGAGAAGGCUAGUAUUUUUAGUGUAGAGAUAAAAUUCUUUGAUACUUUGAGGACUGGUAAGGGCGAAAGCGACCUUCUAUGUAAAAACUGACGUUGAGGGACGAAGGCCUGGGGAGCAAUAAGGAUUAGAUACCCUAGUAGUCCAGGCAGAAAAUUAUGAAUGUCACAUAUUAGAUUAAUUUAGUGUGUAAAUAAAAGUGUAAGCAUUCCACCUCAAGAGUAAUGCGGCAACGCAGGAACUGAAAUCAUUAGACCGUUUCUGAAACCAGUAGUGAAGUAUGUUAUUUAAUUCGAUGAUCCUCGAAAAACCUUACCACAAUUUGUAUAUUUACAAGCGCUGCACGGCUGUCUUCAGUUAAUGUCGUGAGACUCUGGUUACUCCUCAAAAUUAACGUAAACCCUUGCUUUAUUUAAUUAUUUUUAAUAAAGUAGUUGACCGUUAUAUUGGAUAUGAUAAAAGGGACU